UACGAAGGGGGCUAGCGUUGCUCGGAAUCACUGGGCUUAAAGGGCGCGUAGGCGGUCUGACAAGUCUGGGGUGAAAUGCCGCGGCUCAACCGUGGAACUGCCUUAGAUACUGUCGGCCUCGAGGAAGGUAGGGGCAUGCGGAACUGUAGGUGGAGCGGUGAAAUGCGUUGAUAUCUACAGGAACUCCGGUGGCGAAAGCGGCGUGCUGGACCUUUUCUGACGCUGAGGCGCGAAAGCUAGGGGAGCAAACGGG
Molecule: ribosomal RNA, 253 nt
Filed under: uncultured bacterium
Lineage: Bacteria
Description: partial 16S ribosomal RNA
Rfam family: Bacterial small subunit ribosomal RNA
Source: RNAcentral